Molecule: ribosomal RNA, 465 nt
Filed under: uncultured bacterium
Lineage: Bacteria
Description: partial 16S ribosomal RNA
Rfam family: Bacterial small subunit ribosomal RNA
Source: RNAcentral
GAUGAACGCUGGCGGCGUGCUUAACACAUGCAAGUCGAACGAUGAAGCCCAGCUUGCUGGGUGGAUUAGUGGCGAACGGGUGAGUAACACGUGAGUAACCUGCCCUUAACUCUGGGAUAAGCCUGGGAAACUGGGUCUAAUACCGGAUAGGAGCGUCCACCGCAUGGUGGGUGUUGGAAAGAUUUAUCGGUUUUGGAUGGACUCGCGGCCUAUCAGCUUGUUGGUGAGGUAAUGGCUCACCAAGGCGACGACGGGUAGCCGGCCUGAGAGGGUGACCGGCCACACUGGGACUGAGACACGGCCCAGACUCCUACGGGAGGCAGCAGUGGGGAAUAUUGCACAAUGGGCGCAAGCCUGAUGCAGCGACGCCGCGUGAGGGAUGACGGCCUUCGGGUUGUAACCUCUUUCAGUAGGGAAGAAGCGAAAGUGACGGUACCUGCAGAAGAAGCACCGGCUAACUACGUG